RNAcentral lists this long non-coding RNA (213 nucleotides) under Elaeis guineensis (African oil palm). RNAcentral describes it as "long non-coding RNA (EGUI_LNC053482)". Lineage: Eukaryota; Viridiplantae; Streptophyta; Magnoliopsida; Arecales; Arecaceae. The record is from RNAcentral.
UGUGAGAGACUCCAAAAAUUAUUGGGAGCCUUUGUUUAUUUUUAAAAUCUCUAGAAUAAAUUUUUAUAAGUACAAUCAUCUAAUUAAAUCUUUAUUCUCUAUAGAUUAUUCUUCAGCUUCCAAUCCUCUAGUUUGAAAUCGGAUAUCAACCACUUAAGUGAAAUCAAUUAUAUAUUCUGGCUCAGAAACUUAAGAAUAGUUCUGGACCUUUAG